This 253-nucleotide ribosomal RNA is filed under the name uncultured bacterium. Its description in RNAcentral is "partial 16S ribosomal RNA". It matches the Rfam family "Bacterial small subunit ribosomal RNA", at positions 524 to 776 of the family's 1533-position model. The record is from RNAcentral.
UACGGGGGGGGCAAGCGUUGUUCGGAAUUACUGGGCGUAAAGGGCUCGUAGGCGGCCAACUAAGUCGAACGUGAAAUCCCCGGGCUCAACCCGGGAACUGCGUCCGAUACUGGAAGGCUUGAAUCCGGGAGAGGGAUGCGGAAUUCCAGGUGUAGUGGUGAAAUGCGCAGAUAUCAGGAGGAACACCGGUGGCGAAGGCGGGUCUCUGGGCCGAUACUGACGCUGAGGAGCGAAAGCGUGGGGAGCGAACAGG